This 103-nucleotide ribosomal RNA is filed under the name Caerostris darwini. The record is from RNAcentral. Lineage: Eukaryota; Metazoa; Arthropoda; Arachnida; Araneae; Araneidae.
CACCAUAUUUUCAUCUCCGGUUCUCGUUAGAUUUUUAAAGUUCAAGCAUCAUUGGGCGCGGUCAGUAUUUGGUGGGUGACCACCUGGGAAACCGCGUGCCGUU